Molecule: non-coding RNA, 21 nt
Filed under: Caenorhabditis elegans
Lineage: Eukaryota; Metazoa; Nematoda; Chromadorea; Rhabditida; Rhabditidae
Source: RNAcentral
UAAUCGUAACACUUUUCUAAU